Molecule: long non-coding RNA, 1998 nt
Filed under: Nicotiana tabacum (common tobacco)
Lineage: Eukaryota; Viridiplantae; Streptophyta; Magnoliopsida; Solanales; Solanaceae
Description: long non-coding RNA (NTAB_LNC000093)
Source: RNAcentral
CAUAUUUGAUAAUUUAAACAUUAUACAUUCUACAGUUGCCCAUAAUAAGUAAAUAUGCAGAUGUGCUAAGUAUUUGCUUGGCGAUUUGUAUUGCUGCCACCUGAUCAUAUUCUCACAUCCACCGAAUAAAGCAGGCUCACUUUACACAUCACAUGCUGAAACAAAAAAUUUUGAUCAAAAACUUAUAAAGGAAUAAAAUUUUGCCAACAAGUUAAAAGGAAGAUCUUGGUAUAUAAAUAAACGAAAGGUCUGAUUCUUCUUACAAAUAAAUCUGUUACUUGAUCCAACAAUAGCAUUGAACUGAAGUUGUUAGAUACUCGUAUGAAUAAAAGCUAAAGUACAAAGCUAUUUCCUUGGAUAUCAUCACAACACUUACAUCCACAAACUAUUUACUUGAUAGCAUAAAUUCUUGCCAUAUAUUCAUGAAAAUCAUAAUGUAACUAAUAAAUCAUAAGUUAAACACUAUAAGCUUUCUAAUAUUUAGAAUAAAACAAAUAAAUUAUAAGUUGUAAUUUAUCCUAAUGAUUAACAAACUUGCAUCAAAACUGAAGGCUAAUAACACUAGGAAAUUGAAGCAGAAGAAAUGAACUGAAUAAAAUAGGAAUGGUCUGAUAGGAGUAGUUAGUUAAACAAACCAAGCAUGUUAAAAUCUGUUGGAUCCAACUUCAAACAAAAGAAGCAACAAAUUAAAACGCGCAAAACUUUUUCUAAGGCAUGAAUUCCACUAGUAUCUAUAUUAUCAGUAAAAACUACAAGAGAAUAUAUCACAAAUUACUCUUAGUUACUUAAUGUAACCUGGAGAAAAGAUGUGAAAAGAUUUAGGAGAUGAGUUAACAAGCAUCACUUACCACUCAAUGCCAUCAUAACAACAUAUCAAUCUGUUAAACCAAAAUAUGCAUAAAUUAGCAUUCAAUCAAUUUGGCUUCAUCAAAGUUUUUGUCCCUAGAAUUACUCCACAGUAAGAGAUCCUCUUAUGGGAACACAUACCAAUGCAAGAUAUAAAAAAUAAGGUGAAUCAAAUGUGAAUACCAUUUCUGAACAUAGCUUUAAACCAAAUAUGAAUACCAUCUCUAAACAUACCUAUAAAUGAAAUAAAUAAGCACUACUUAAAGAUGCAAUAUUGUUACCUUUAGAUAAAACACCAUAUUGAAUAAAAAAUUUAUUCGAAUUUAUAUGCAUUUGUUGCUAAAUAAGUAGCAGUAUUUGCCUCGACUACAUCAUCAAUUAGAUGGUCUGUAGCUAGCUAUAUCCCAACUCUUAGUAUGGCUCAUUCUCAUGACCUUCAUCUUUCACAACUUCUUCUGUAUCAUAUAAAUCUCUUAGCUUUAGGUUUACUAAAAAUACUUCAUCUUUAAUUGAAAACAUCAUCUACACAGUACACCAUAUUUAUGCUUGAAAUACUUCGAUGUAAGGCUCAUAUUCUUCACCCUCAAUCUCGAAUAAUUAUAUAGAAAGUUGGAGUUCAUUUUCUUUUUUCCAAAUAAAUAAAACAUUAGUAGCAUACAAAUAAUUUACCUGCCUAAUGAUCUUUGUAUGCUAGAAUUAUUCAAAUUUGAAGGCAUAUAUAAAAUAUGCUCAAACACUUAUGCGAGCCGUACAUAAACUAGUUUUUACAACAAAAUGAGUCAACUUACCUGAUAGCGGGUUUGAAGUUACACCAUGUCCAGUACUCUUAGAAACGCGCACAUCUGCAAUAAUGAUAUGAUGCAAGACAUAUUACUAGAGGAAGUUUUUAUUUGCAGUAAUUCAUUUUCUAAGGAAAGUGAAAAACUAAACUAUUAAAGUAUGAGCUAGAGAAGGAAAAAUUUGUCACCAUAGCAAGUAAAAUAUAUGCAUUCAUUAAAGACCUUGUACUGUCUUGAUAUUCCUCAAUAUAGAAGUGAGAAAAAUAUUAGGAAGUUCCCUGAUUGAAUAAUCGACAGAAUAAAAUGCAUUUAUGCUCUCCCAUCAACACCAGCUCUAAUGUGAUUAGGGGUAAGGCAUGGGCCUUAGGCCCGC